CACCGCCUGGGGAGUACGACCGCAAGGUUAAAACUCAAAUGAAUUGACGGGGACCCGCACAAGUAGUGGAGCAUGUGGUUUAAUUCGAAGAUACGCGCAGAACCUUACCAACACUUGACAUGUUCGUCGCGACUCUAAGAGAUUAGAGUUUUCGGUUCGGCCGGACGAAACACAGGUGCUGCAUGGCUGUCGUCAGCUCGUGUCGUGAGAUGUUGGGUUAAGUCCCGCAACGAGCGCAACCCUCACUUUUAGUUGCCAUCAUUAAGUUGGGCACUCUGAAAGAACUGCCAGUGAUAAGCUGGAGGAAGGUGGGGAUGACGUCAAGUCCUCAUGGCCCUUACGUGUUGGGCUACACACGUGCUACAAUGGUAUCUACAACAGGAAGCAAAACUGCGAGGUUAAGCAAAUCCUUAAAAGAUACCUCAGUUCGGAUUGCACUCUGCAACUCGAGUGCAUGAAGCUGGAAUUACUAGUAAUCGUGGAUCAGCGUGCCACGGUGAAUGCGUUCCCGGGUCUUGUACACACCGCCCGUCACACCAUGGGAGUUGGUUCUACCUUAAGGCAAGGUUUAAAACCCUUGACCACGGUAUAGUCAGCGACUGGGGUGAAGUCGUAACAAGGUAGCCGUAGGGGAACCUGCGGCUGGAUUACCUCCUUUCUAAGGAUGAAUAAAAUUAAAAUUUUAUUCUAAAAAAUAUACAGGUAAUGUUGACCGUCCUCAUUUCUCUUCUUAAAGCAGUGUUUCUCUUGCAUGGGGGCCGGUAGCUCAGUUGGUUAGAGCACACCCUUGAUAAGGGUGGGGUCGAAAGUUCGAGUCUUUCUCGGCCCACCAAUUAAGACUAUGGGGGAUUAGCUCAGCUGGGAGAGCGCCUGAUUUGCAUUCAGGAGGUCAGCGGUUCGAUCCCGCUAUCCUCCACCAGAAACACUUAGUUAUAAAAAUUGUGAAUAUAAUAAUAAUUAAUAUCAAUAUCUAUAUCCGAACAUUAGUAAUGUUAUUAGCUAAUGUUCAAAUAAAAAUUUGAUUCAACACAGAAUUUUUUUCUG
RNAcentral lists this small RNA (1044 nucleotides) under uncultured Pelagibacterales bacterium. RNAcentral's name for it is "bacterial SSU rRNA". The stretch from base 1 to 658 matches the Rfam family "Bacterial small subunit ribosomal RNA", at positions 867 to 1533 of the family's 1533-position model. The record is from RNAcentral. Lineage: Bacteria; Pseudomonadati; Pseudomonadota; Alphaproteobacteria; Candidatus Pelagibacterales.